CUUCAGGGAACCUAGUACUGAGCAAAGCUUGAGCUAGGCACAAGAAAGUCCACAGGAUAACAGGCUCAAACACCUAGAUUCACCAAAAUGGAGUCGCAUUGUUAUUUCUGAGGCCUGAAGCCUUUCAGCCUUCACCAAGUCUCAGAGCUUCUACCGGUCUGAGUUCAGAAGUGGCCAACCUCACAGAUGAAGUCUUUUACACACCCAGAGAAAACAGACUGAUGACUGGACUGAAACUUCUGGAACAACAAGUCAGAGUAGAUCUCCCUCCUCCUAAGCUGUUGGACUCAAGAGUUUCAUCACAGUCGUCACAGUGGGAAAAGCUAAGAAGAGAGUGUACGCACUGUGUAAAGACAUGACUAUUUCAUCAUUUCCCCAUGUACCCUGUCCAGUUUUAUCGUGCUGUACUUAGCAAAGCUAUACCAAUAUGUGCCAUCUUGACCUGGCUGCAAUACACAGUUGUUUAAUCGACA
Long non-coding RNA from Peromyscus eremicus (cactus mouse), 473 nucleotides. RefSeq lists it as uncharacterized. The record is from RefSeq and is a predicted model, not a curated record. The transcript has 3 exons. NCBI's taxonomy places the organism in Eukaryota, Metazoa, Chordata, Mammalia, Rodentia, Cricetidae.